AGGGUGUAUGCCCUUCAGCCAAUCACAAUCGCCUCGUCUAAGUUUUAGAAUGUUCCAUGCCCAAAUGAUUGGACGACCGCCCCCACGUCAGCAAUGACACUUCGCCGCAGUAAAGGCGGGUGCUAGCAACCUGCUUCUUCAUGGUUAAGGCCUAAAACAAGCCAAUCACCUUUCUUCUUUAGUGCGGAUUUCAGCCAAUGAUGUCCGUCCUCUUAGGUCCUUGGCCCGCCCUCCAAAAGCGCGACAGCAGUUGGGUCAUAAGUCUAUAGGGCAGAAUGUUCACGUGGCCUAUUUUCACGACCCAGAGUUCCCCUGACCAGAGGUUUUCCCCCCCUCAAAAAAGGAGGCAUUAUGGGUUUGUGUCUCCCCCCCACCCCCACUGGGAGAGGAAGUGUCUACGUGGCCUGCGGAAAUAGGAUAGGCGGAAAUGAGCUAAGGUUCGCGCGAGUAGGGAAGCGCUAGGUCAAAUCUAGGGCCACGCCCCCGGGGCUGUUGCGCAACUCUUGGAGCAGAGGGAAAAAUGCGCAGUGGGGACGUUAACGGGCGUGCGAGUGGGGAUGUCAAAGAGUUAAUGAAUGAUCCCAGGCACUGAUGCUGAUGAAGAUGUUUUGUCAGUCAGUAAAGAUAGAAAAGAACUCAGAGGAGAGGUUGUGGUGGACCCAUUUUAGAGAUGAAGAACCAGAGACAAACAAAAUAUCUCACAAGGAAUUGAGAAAUGUGGGCGUUGAGGAAUUUGAAGAUGGGUGACCUGAAAUCCAAGGGGGAGAAGGGCUGAGAAGCUGGAGAGGGAAGAUAUUCCAAAAGCAAGCUGGGGAGAGAACGCACAGUGUAGGAGGUAAGGUGUGGAGAUGGGAAGGAGUGAUAUCCAUUAAAGUGAGAGAGGCUGGAAGAAAAGAGAUUGGAGAAUGGGGAAUGGAAGCUGGUGCUAAUGGAUGCAGAGAGGUGACCAGGGUUCUGGGACCAAGUCUCUGAGAGGACUGGGCCGUAUUUUGAAACUUCUUCCAGUUCCCAAGUUAUUCUAUUGAUCGUGGCAAGGCUUUCACUCGUUCAGUUUGAGAGGGAGCCCUUGCCAAUCAGCCUACAAAAGUUGGUAGGCUGGGUUAUGCGGUUGCUGUGGCCAGAGCCUGGUGCGAAGGCCUGCUGAGGUGAUGAAAAAGAGAGCUUCCCCCUUCCCUGGGAGGCUUAUGGACUAGCUGGGAAGACAAAGUAGGAGAACACUGAAAAAAUUAAACCGCUUUAGACAGUGACAUGGAAGGAGACCACCAUCUCAUAGAGAUGGAUGGGUGAGGAGAGAUUAGAGAAGAAAAACAGCUGGCAGACUCCUAGAACAUUCCUAAUUUGCUCUUGGCUAAGGGUUCCCUGAAAAUGUUAUGGAUUCCCCUCCCUUCUCCGACAGGGCUCCUCUGAGACAGAGGACUUCUGUUUCUCUACCUGGAACAAAAAGGCCCAGAGACAGGUUCUAGAAAUGAAUUAACUCUCCAUCAACUC
This is a long non-coding RNA of Microcebus murinus (gray mouse lemur), 1488 nucleotides long. RefSeq lists it as uncharacterized. Lineage: Eukaryota; Metazoa; Chordata; Mammalia; Primates; Cheirogaleidae. The record is from RefSeq and is a predicted model, not a curated record.